Molecule: ribosomal RNA, 253 nt
Filed under: uncultured bacterium
Lineage: Bacteria
Also listed under: 1 other name
Description: partial 16S ribosomal RNA
Rfam family: Bacterial small subunit ribosomal RNA
Source: RNAcentral
UACGUAGGGUGCGAGCGUUGUCCGGAAUUAUUGGGCGUAAAGGGCUCGUAGGCGGUCUGUCGCGUCGGGAGUGAAAACUCAGGGCUUAACCCUGAGCCUGCUUCCGAUACGGGCAGACUAGAGGUAUGCAGGGGAGAACGGAAUUCCUGGUGUAGCGGUGAAAUGCGCAGAUAUCAGGAGGAACACCGGUGGCGAAGGCGGGUCUCUGGGCCGAUACUGACGCUGAGGAGCGAAAGCGUGGGGAGCGAACAGG